This 64-nucleotide transfer RNA is filed under the name Cavia porcellus (domestic guinea pig). It matches the Rfam family "tRNA". Rfam says of the family: Transfer RNA (tRNA) molecules are approximately 80 nucleotides in length. The record is from Rfam by way of RNAcentral. Lineage: Eukaryota; Metazoa; Chordata; Mammalia; Rodentia; Caviidae.
GGGGAUUUAGCUCAGUGGCAUAAGUGCUUGCCUUAAAAGCAGGCAGUCAUGAGUUCAAUCCCCG